Molecule: non-coding RNA, 76 nt
Organism: Podarcis lilfordi (Lilford's wall lizard)
Lineage: Eukaryota; Metazoa; Chordata; Lepidosauria; Squamata; Lacertidae
Source: the annotation of a GenBank genome assembly
ACUGAUCGUAGCUCAGUGGUAGGGCACAUGCCUUGAAUGCAAAAGGUUGCAGGUUCCAUCCCUGGGGCCUCCAGUU